Long non-coding RNA from Coturnix japonica (Japanese quail), 1267 nucleotides. NCBI's taxonomy places the organism in Eukaryota, Metazoa, Chordata, Aves, Galliformes, Phasianidae. The record is from Ensembl.
UAACUAUCUCAGCAUAAGAUGAUGUAGUAUGCUGCGUGAUACUUUCAUAUGGGCAAAUGCUAAUUGCUACCAUCAUUCACAGCUGGAUAUGGCUGAUGGGUAGGUUAGAAUGUAAGGAGGAAGAAAUUCAUUUUUAUGUACUGAUGAACACUGGGCCACGUAGAAAACCCGGAUUCAUGUUCAGCACAUCACUGUGAAUGUUUAUUUGUGGGGAAUCACAACCAGAAGAACUCAAACAGGAGUAAAUACAGGUAAAGCUGUAGUUAUUGUAAUGAAGUCCAUCUGGCUACAACCAAGCUGUAUUAAUUUUUUUACAGGCAGCUAGUUCUAGCUAAAUGAAGAGAUGCAUGAAGUGUAAAUAAACUUAAGCAUCCCUCGCAUGUUCGUGAAGUUGAAAAACUCUUUUUGCACACAUAGUUGUACACACAAGCACAUAAAUAUCUGACGGCAGAAAUCUGGUUUAAAGCUAGGAUCUGCGUUCAUUUUGAAUAAUGUGUUUAGUUAAGUAAUAAAGUAAGAAACAGCAUCAUUCAGAGCCAGAAGAACAGCCAGUGCCGGGCUUUUUUUGGCACGGUACUCGGCUCUGGAGCAGAUGCAUUCCGCGAUGAAGACAAGACCUGCCUCGGCUGCUGCCCCCCGCCCCAUUGUGCUUCACAUGGCAGCGGCAUUCUGCCGUCACGGGGGCGGAGGCAACAGAACGAUCAGCCCCUGUAGGAGUCCUGCCGGCACGGAGAUUGAGGAGCGUCGGAGAGUGUGAGCAGAAGAUUCCAUAUGGUAAAAGAAGAGGAGAGUCGUGAGAUGAUUGAAUAGAAGAAAGGAGGGCAUGACAGGGGAAGACAAGAAUGGAAGGGGCUAUGGUGACUCAGUGGUUCCAGCACAGUGUUGUAGUUCAGUGGCCCAUGACAGAAGUGUACUCCAGUACUAUUUUUUAUUUUCAACUUGUGAGUAGUAAAUUAUUCUUUCAGCUUCCCCUCAUGAAGCAGCUCAUCUUCCACAGAUACACCCAGUAAGCUGUUUUAACAGAGAUUUUCCCACAACAACCUCUUUCUUUUCUCUACACCCACCACUUUGGUCCAGAUUGAAAAUUUUCACAGAACAAUCCCACUGUUUUCCUCCCAGAACCAUCACUGACAUCAGAUCUACCUCUUAUUCAGCAGACAUGGUGAGUAAGGAGACCGAGUACUUCACUCCAUUGUUUACUCAGUUAAAAGGCCCUUGGAGCAAAGGUAGAUCCAUAUGCUUAUCAGUCAUGAUUGCUAAUGACAUU